GAACUGCGAUAAGUAAUGUGAAUUGCAGAAUUCAGUGAAUCAUCGAGUCUUUGAACGCACAUUGCGCCCCCUGGCAUUCCGGGGGGCAUGCCUGUCCGAGCGUCAUUGCUGCCCUUCAAGCCCGGCUUGUGUGUUGGGUCGUCGUCCCCUCCGGGGGACGGGCCCGAAAGGCAGCGGCGGCACCGCGUCCGGUCCUCGAGCGUAUGGGGCUUUGUCACCCGCUCGAUAAGGACCGGCCGGGCGCCAGCCGGCGUCUCCAACCUUUUUUUCUCAGGUUGACCUCGGAGCAGGUAGGGAUAUCCGCUGAACUUAAGC
This 315-nucleotide unclassified non-coding RNA is filed under the name plant metagenome. RNAcentral describes it as "partial contains 5.8S ribosomal RNA, internal transcribed spacer 2, and large subunit ribosomal RNA". The stretch from base 1 to 105 matches the Rfam family "5.8S ribosomal RNA", at positions 50 to 154 of the family's 154-position model. The record is from RNAcentral.